This 406-nucleotide ribosomal RNA is filed under the name uncultured bacterium. Its description in RNAcentral is "partial 16S ribosomal RNA". It matches the Rfam family "Bacterial small subunit ribosomal RNA", at positions 30 to 526 of the family's 1533-position model. The record is from RNAcentral.
AUUGAACGCUGGCGGCAGGCCUAACACAUGCAAGUCGAGCGAGCGGCGGACGGGUGAGUAAUGUCUGGGCAACUGCCUGAUGGAGGGGGAUAACUACUGGAAACGGUAGCUAAUACCGCAUACCAUCAGAUGUGCCCAGAUGGGAUUAGCUAGUAGGUGGGGUAACGGCUCACCUAGGUGACGAUACCUAGCUGGUCUGAGAGGAUGACCAGCAACACUGGAACUGAUACACUGUCCAGACGCUUCCGGGAGGCAUGAGUGGGGAAUAUCGUAAAAUGGGCGCAAGCCUGAAGCAGCCAUGCCGGUUGGGUGAAGUAGGCCUUCGGGUUGUAAUGCACUUUCAGCGGGAAGGCGUUGCACGCAGAAGAAGCACCGGGCAACUCCGUGCUAGCAGCCGCGGUAAUUC